AUAUUUUUGUGAUUGUCAGUCAUAACAGUCGUGAUCAUCGUGUUAGUUUUUGCAUUUCAUUUGGUUUUCUGACCAUUUUAAUUCUAGUAUUCAUGUACCAAACGUACUUUUUUAAUCAGAUUACAUCUGUUGAACAUCGAAAACGAGCAUAACAAAAUCUCAGCUAUGGAUCGAGCAGCAAAAACGAUUUCUAUUGACGAUUCCUGCCAUGUCCAAGCUAGCUGCAGCAGCAUCAUCAUCAUGAAGGAAUUGUGGAUUAUUGGAUUAUCAAACGCAGAGCUCUUAUAAAUUUCGUGGCAAGAAACCAACAAUGUGGCCUCUAUAACCUA
Aedes aegypti (yellow fever mosquito) is the source of this 329-nucleotide long non-coding RNA. RefSeq lists it as uncharacterized. Lineage: Eukaryota; Metazoa; Arthropoda; Insecta; Diptera; Culicidae. The record is from RefSeq and is a predicted model, not a curated record. The transcript is spliced from 2 exons.